Molecule: ribosomal RNA, 492 nt
Filed under: uncultured bacterium
Lineage: Bacteria
Description: partial 16S ribosomal RNA
Rfam family: Bacterial small subunit ribosomal RNA
Source: RNAcentral
AGUGAACGCUGGCGGUAUGCCUAACACAUGCAAGUCGAACGGCCGCACAGUAAGAGCUUGCUCUUACGGGUGGCGAGUGGCGGACGGGUGAGGAAUACAUCGGCAUCUACUUUUUCUUGGGGGAUAACGUAGGGACACUUACGCUAAUACCUCAUACUUCCUACCGCUGAAAGCAGGAGUUCUUCGGACCUUUCGCGUUUGAUUUAGCUGAUGUCGGAUUAGCUAGUUGGCGGGGUAAAGGCCCACCAAGGCGACGAUCCGUAGCUGGUCUGAGAGGAUGAUCAGCCACACUGGAACUGAGACACGGUCCAGACUCCUACGGGAGGCAGCAGUGGGGAAUAUUCGACAAUGGGCGCAAGCCUGAUCCAGCCAUACCGCGUGAGUGAAGAAGGCCUUCGGGUUGUAAAGCCCUGUUAUUGGGAAAGAAAAGCAGCAGGUGAAUCCCCCGCUGUUCUGACGGUACCCAAAGAAUAAGCACCGGCUAACUUCGUG